UGGAACCUUUGUUUUUAGCAGUGUAUCAAAUUUUGGUUGCUAGUACUUCCUGGUUAGAAAUAGAAGAGCAAGUUGAGCGCACUGCAUUGUGGGAUACUAUAUUUUGCAGUGUUGCCAUGUCUAAAAAUCACUCAAUUUUUCACUCAUUCACUAUUCCUUAUAUAGUGAAUGUAAUUUAGUGCUGUAGGAACAGAAAUGAGUGAAUAAUAAUAGGCCUACCUAACUACUGUAUGUAUUUAAAUCAGUGACAGUAGCCUAAAUCAAUGCAACAAAUCUUCGUUCUUUUGCCUAAUAUUUUUGUUCAUAAUGAUUGGAAAUAUAAAUAACUGCCAACAAGUAUUAACAUAAGAAAAGGUGUACAUAGCCUAAUUAUAAGAUGUGUACAUGUAUUCUAUGCAUGCAAAAAUGAAUACUGUACACACAUUAUACUGUAUACACUAGAAGUAGGCAAUAGAAGUAUGCAAUUCCAAACACCCUGCAAAAAACGUUCACCUGAUACAAAUUGCCAACAUCCCCAAGCACCUGAGCCUCCAACAAACUCACUCCCUCCCUCAAGGUGACACCAGGUAACCACCUCCUGUAACCCCAUCAUUCACUUUCCAUGCUCAAUUUAUUCCCAUCCCCACCACCCUCUCAAGCUCCAGCCUUCGCCAUAGCGUAUCUUGCCAAUCACGCAUUCUCUAAGCAUUGAUUGAUUGGCCCAAGACCAAUCAAUCAUCGGCGACUGUGAAUAUGACCCCGCCCUCUCUCCAUGGCGGUACACAGACCAAUCACGGUACUUGUUCGGGAAUUUCCACUCUCAUUGAUCAGCCUCCACUUUGACGCAGUCACGGACCGUCGAGCCCGGUUCCCCCUCCGGGCAUCACGACCGAUAUCAGCAUGUAAAAACGACACAGAAACCAAGAUACAAAACAUCCCGUGCCAUAAAAGCCCCUGCCGGCAAGUCAGCCAAUCAGAGAAGAGAUGCUGUGAAAGUCCUUGAGAGCGACCUUGAUGAAAAGGGAACAGGAUGACUGAAAACAAGGGUUUAUGAGAGGCAGUGAUAAAUGGGGUUCACAGAGAGGAACAGGAAGAGAUGAAGAGCAGAGAGAGGGUAAAAGAUUGAUGGUGGCAUGUUGAACGGGAAACACACCAGUCCUACAGUGGACGGUGACUGUGCUCGGCAUCCCCCAUCUCUCCUCGUUCCCUCCCCUCCUCGUCCCUCCAUCUCACCUCCUCCCCCUCGCGCUCACUACAUUUCAUGUGGUCUUCCGGAGCAAUGACACAUUAUUACUGGCAGGUUGAGGAGGUCAAUCAAUCAGGCUUUGUGCCACAAGCCACCACAAGCAACAGCAGCGAUGGCAAACCUCCAUUAUUAUAAACCAAUCAGCAUCUUCCCACAAAUAACAAAGGCCUCUAAUUACACCCUUACAGUCUUUUACACCCCACUGGGUCCUAGUGCUCAGUUAAAAAAAUAAAUAAAUAAAAUAAAAAAUUCUUUCUAAAAUUGUUCCAUACCAGUGAUCACACAAAUGAAGCAAACAACUGCAAUCAGUUUCAUCAGGCAGAGAAUAUAUGGCUGCAUAUAAUAAGCCAUGUGAACAGGUCUGAGAUCAGCUUGCACAUGGUCUGCCAGACCCUAUUGGUAAGAAUAAUUUAAGAUAUAUGAAAUGGAAAAUCAAACUGGAGUCAUGACAAAAGGUUAGAAAGUCUCUGACCCAUUUUCUCCCCAUCAUUUCACUAUGGUAAUUAAGACUAAAUGUAGCCUCAUAAAAAGACCAAUAAAACAUUUUUAAUGGAUUCUUGGUCAAACUUAGCUUAGUGAUUUGAACUCCACCUAUAUUAUUUGUGAAUGAUACUUCAAAUCUUGUGGUUUACUGAUGAAAGAUGAAUUAUUUUUUUCAAGCGGUCAGACUUAUAAUUGACCCUUUUUCCUUGUCCAUAUCCGGUUGUUCUUGUACACAAGAAUGUAUUGUAGACAGCGCAAGCUGUGAUGUCCAAAUCACAAACAAAUUACAUUUAUGAACCGGUUUUCAGUUAGUCUGUGAAAAAGAUUAACAAAGCAGAUUCUAAAGGCACGUUCUCACCAAGGAUAAAAACUAAUGGUAAUUAUAACUUUUUUUUUUUAAGAAUUUUAAUAAUCAUUCUAAAUAAUUCUGUGAAGAUAGGGAAGUCCAUGCAGAUAUCAUUGGAAUCACUUCCAGAAUGAUUUUUUCCAGCUGAUGAACAAAAAAAAAAACAAAAAAAAAAAACAUUGACAGCCAAUCUAAAUCCACGCGGUUCUAAAGAGUGCAGGCAUUUAAAGCGGCAUUUUGAUGCUAAUUAUUGUGAGUGCUGGGUAGCUGAUUACAUGUAAUCUGGAUGUUCACCACUACAUACUACAUUACAUACUACAUAAUUCCAAAAAUUAAGUAGGCUACUUGUGUAUUUAUGUUUUAAAAUACUCGUGUAGAGCAGAUGGGACCGGGCGAAACAAUGGCCCUGGAAUGACGAGCAUCUGAGGUGGAGCCAGAGUUCCGGAGGACUGAGGUAGAGCCGGAGGGAAGAUGGAGCCAGAUGAAGCCAAAAGGGUGGAGAGAUGGAGUGCAGAGGAUAGCUUGGAAGUCUGUGGCACAGGAAGAGCGACAUCUGACCAAGGUGGAGCCAGAGGGAUGAGGGAGUCCGGUGGAGCCAUAAGGACGAUGGUUACUGGUAGACCCGAGAGAGGGGGAGCCAAGGUGGAGCCAACAGGUCGACAGGCCGAGGUGGAGUGACUGGCCCUGCAUUUCAUUCGACUCUCCUUUGUUUGGCGUUUUUUAAAACGGGUGAUUCCCCGGAGGUUCAAGAUUUAGCGUGCUCCAUGUCAAUCAUGGCGUGCCCAUUAUGACAACUAUACACCACUCCAUAGACGUGUCAAACUGCUCCAUCAUUCGUCCAUCCUAGAAGGUUCUAGAAGAGGCUUUGUGGAAAACUUGAAAGAACAGAAAAUUAUAAAAUUUAUUUUUAGGACUGUAAAAGUUCAUUGUAAACAGCUUUGAAAUUAUUUAUUGUGAAAAGCGAAAUAAAAAUAAAUUGAACAUUUUUUCACGCUUACAAAUACAAACAUUAAAUAAUAUUAAGAAAAUAUUUCAAUACUUUUCUUUAGCUGUAGUACAGUAAGAAUUUUAUAAAUCUUUGAUUUCAUGUAUUAUCGUUUAGGUGAGUUUCUGAAAGUAACUCUACCAAGCUAACUUACAUAAGGCUUCCAUGCAACAACUUUUACAUUAAAUCCUAAAAGAAAAAAUAUGUAUUAGAUUUUUACAUCCAGAUUUUUCAGAAGCACAGGAAGUAAAGAGAAAAGGAUUGAGUGAAAGAGAUAUUCAGCGAUGCUUGCUGCUAAAUAUACCAGAAUGUAAGUGCUCACGCCUCCCUGAGCAUUCACCUUGAGCUCACCAGGCCCGCCGCCACCACCAUUGGAGGAGAAUCCAGGACACCUCACGCUCUCAUUGGCCAUGAGGGGCCAGCCUGUUGCUGGGCUGUUUCCAUGGAGAUGGCUUAUCGAAGGUACCGCUGGGGCCGUCACUGGGGAAAUAGAUGGGGCAAAGAUGGUUAAUGAGAAAAAGUGAGGAUUAUGUGUGUGCGAGCGUGGAAGGGUGAGAGAGAGGCAAAAUGCAUUGAGAGUAAUGACGCAAAAAAGGAUGGAUGAAGCUAAAGAAACAGGUUGGUCACAUGUGGCUGAGAGAGUGAGUACGAGUGAAUGUGUAUCAAUCACAUUAACAUAUAUGUAUGAACGUUAAAGGUUGGUGUUUAAAGAUGAGGAAAAGCAGGUGAAAGACAGAAACAUCUUCCGACAGAGGCUGCCAGAGCCAAAUCCCUCUAUAUUUUAACAUACACUAAAAGGAAGAAACAUAUUGAAGUGAACUGACCUAAAAUGAUCGUGAGUUUUUGACUGAAUGAACUCAGUCCAGGCAGAAAAGGCAGCAAACUCAGUCACACUACACUUCAUACCUAAUUCAUCUGACUGGAGGUGCUGGAUGGAACGUUUUUGCUAUAGUUAUAUAAUAACAUGUCUGCUGGGAAUAUGAUUAAAGUAAUCCUAAAGCAAAAAUAAAUAAAUAAACAAAUAAAUAAAAUAAAAAAUAAAUAAAAUUGAGAAAUA
This is a long non-coding RNA of Megalobrama amblycephala (Wuchang bream), 4096 nucleotides long. RefSeq lists it as uncharacterized. The transcript has 6 exons. The record is from RefSeq and is a predicted model, not a curated record. Lineage: Eukaryota; Metazoa; Chordata; Actinopteri; Cypriniformes; Xenocyprididae.